CUCUUAGAUGUUCUGGGCCGCACGCGCGCUACACUGAUGAAUGCAACGAGCUCUACCCUUGACCGAAAGGCCCGGGUAAACUUGUGAAACUUCAUCGUGAUGGGGAUAGAUUAUUGCAAUUAUUAAUCUUCAACGAGGAAUUCCUAGUAAGCGCGAGUCAUCAGCUCGCGUUGAUUACGUCCCUGCCCUUUGUACACACCGCCCGUCGCUCCUACCGAUUGAAUGGUCCGGUGAAAUCUUCGGAUUGCUGACCAAGAUCCAGCAAUGGAGCUUGGUUGCGAGAAGUUGAUUAAACCUUAUUAUUUAGAGGAAGGAGAAGUCGUAACA
Molecule: ribosomal RNA, 327 nt
Filed under: uncultured eukaryote
Lineage: Eukaryota
Description: partial 18S ribosomal RNA
Rfam family: Eukaryotic small subunit ribosomal RNA
Source: RNAcentral